This 253-nucleotide ribosomal RNA is filed under the name uncultured bacterium. RNAcentral's name for it is "partial 16S ribosomal RNA". It matches the Rfam family "Bacterial small subunit ribosomal RNA", at positions 524 to 776 of the family's 1533-position model. The record is from RNAcentral.
GACAGAGGGGGCAAGCGUUGCUCGGAAUCACUAGGCGUAAAGGGCGCGUAGGCGGGCUGGCAAGUCAGUCGUGAAAUCUCUCGGCUCAACCGAGAAACGUCGGCUGAUACUGCCGUUCUUGAGGGAUGCAGAGGAGACUGGAAUUCCCGGUGUAGCGGUGAAAUGUGUAGAGAUCGGGAGGAACACCGGUGGCGAAGGCGGGUCUCUGGGCAUUUCCUGACGCUGAGGCGCGAAAGCGUGGGGAGCAAACGGG